AUAAAUGCUAUUGGUAUGCUUAACACAUGCAAGUUAAAUGUUUUGAAACAUAGCGAACGGGUGAGUAACACGUGAAUUAUCUACCUUUUAAUUCAGAAUAAUUAUUUGUAAUAAAAAUACUGAAUAAAUAAAUUAAAGUUUUUAACGUUAAAAGAUGAGUUUGCGCAAGAUUAAUGGUAGUUGGUUGUUUAAUAGACUACCAAGCCUAUUAUCUUUAGCUGAUUUGAAAGAAUGAUCAGCCACAUUGGGACUGAGACACGGCCCAAACUUUUUUAAAGGCAGCAGUGGGGAAUUUUGGACAAUGAGCGCAAGCUUGAUCCAGCAAUACCGAGUGAGUGAUGACGGCUAAUUAGGUUGUAAAGCUCUUUCAUUAAGGAGGAAAAUGACAGUACUUAAAAAAGAAGUUCCGGCUAAUACCCGU
This 421-nucleotide ribosomal RNA is filed under the name uncultured bacterium. Its description in RNAcentral is "bacterial SSU rRNA". It matches the Rfam family "Bacterial small subunit ribosomal RNA", at positions 32 to 506 of the family's 1533-position model. The record is from RNAcentral.